This is a long non-coding RNA of Canis lupus familiaris (dog), 1322 nucleotides long. RefSeq lists it as uncharacterized. The transcript is spliced from 3 exons. NCBI's taxonomy places the organism in Eukaryota, Metazoa, Chordata, Mammalia, Carnivora, Canidae. The record is from RefSeq and is a predicted model, not a curated record.
CCCUCCCGGGAGUGCGCCCAAGCCGGACGCCGGAAGCCGGAAGCCGGGGACCGGAAGUCGGGGACUCUCGCCCCUUCCCCGGCUCUUAGGACGCGACUCUCGCGGUAGCCCCGAGUUAGCCCUUCCGCUGUCAGGCCCGUCGCAGGACUAGGGCGCACCCAGGGCAAGAGGGACUAAGGGGCGGCUGGCUACGGACAGGAAAUAAGAGCUCACCUCCAGAUGCCCCGGCUCUGAUGUAAGCUGGGCCAACGGGGUGGCCGGCAACGGACGCUAAGGUUCAGAAGACGCGCUUCCCGGCAUCCUUAGCGCUCCGGCAGGAGGGCUGGCCGAGCAAGCCAGAACGAUCACCGGGCCCUUGCUUGGGGGAGAGCAGUGGCUGCCCUUGGACCUUGCCCGCCUCUAGCUGUCUCUCUCUUUCCUUCCCUUUUAGGACAAAUGGCUUGGAAGAAAGACUUCCCUAAGUUUGGUUUUAGUCCUCUGCCAUUCAUCCUUACCACAUUGUAGGCAGCAAACCGCCAACAAGGCAUUCUCAUCCCUCCAACUCAAUUCACUAGAGAUCGCCCCUCUCCCCACAGCUUUCCACUUUCCGUCUUCUAGGGCCUCCUCUCAGCAGCCAGGUUCAUGCUGCUCCGUACUUCUGGGAAUCUGGUAUCGCUGACUUCCGGGAUCCUCUUCUCUCCUCUCUUUCUUCUUGCUUCUUCCCAGUUCCCAUUCACAGUCUAGCUCGUGAUGGUAACAAGGAAGACUCUCCUGGUUUGGGGAAUGUAGAGUCCCCUGAAUAAGAUUGGAAUCUCAGUCAUACCUGAGGAAGCAGAUUCAGGGGAGUAGAAAAUGGAAUUUGAGAACACUGGAGAGACAUACAUGACAACAAGUGCUUGGAUCUGUACUUCCACUGUGAAGGCUACAACAUGAAACAUGAUGAAAACCAGCCUUAGAGAGAAGCCUAGUAUACUCCUUUUUCUCCAUUUUCUCACCUUGCCCAAGGAGGUAGAGACGACCUGGAGACACUGUCCUAGAUGCUUGCAUUUUAUUUAUGAUUAUUUCUAUACCUUGGAAGUACUCAUGAAGCUCUGAGCUCUGCUGCAUUGGAUAUCAUCUUGUGAACUGUUCAAGGGCAGGAUGACCAACAACUGGUUUGAGUGUGAGAACAUCAUCCAGAAUAUGGAACAACUUGGUGACUGUGCAGAAGGUUCUGGAGAGAGAGUGGGCUGAGCAGGGAGAGUAAGUGAAAGAUUGAUGUGGGAGUAUGUGUGUGUGUGUGAGACAGAGAGGAAGGGAGGGAGGGAGAAAGUGAUUCUGAAUAGACUCCACCAAUCCUGUUG